GAUAGUAUUUGCAUAACUAUGUUGUAGAUCAAUAGCUCGCGAUGUAGCUCCCCGUUUACUUUUGAUAUGUUCCUAGAGAAAAAUAAGUUGAAAGAUGAUAGUGUGACGCCCGGAUAAUUAGGCUACAGUAAUCCCCCACUAAUGAUGCCACAUCACCGCAGUUACUGUUGAUAAUCCCGCGUUAGUUCAAAAACCAAUUCAAAUUCAAAAUUGAAUAAAAGGCAAACAUCAAAGUUUUCAAAAUAUUAAACUAAAAUGUUCGGAGUGUGCAAAUAAUUGCUUAGGUGUUUAUGGUGAAGGACCCGUGCUUUUAUAAAAGGCCUAAAUAUUUUUAAUGAAAUAAAACAGAAGAGAAAAUAAAUAAAAGAAAAGGAAAAAAGGAAAAACAAAACUAACAAAAGAAAAGAAAAGAAACCCCCCCACUGGGCCAGCCGGCACGGCUGCUGGCCAGCCCACUGGCCCCUCAGGCCCAACCGGCCAUCCCCAUAACCCCCCACGCCCCCGAAACCCUAACCCCCACGCACCACUCCCCCGUGGCCCCAAUCCCCCCACUUUCCCCCCUCCUGAUCCAAAUNNNNNNNNNNNNNNNNNNNNNNNNNNNNNNNNNNNNNNNNNNNNNNNNNNNNNNNNNNNNNNNNNNNNNNNNNNNNNNNNNNNNNNNNNNNNNNNNNNNNNNNNNNNNNNNNNNNNNNNNNNNNNNNNNNNNNNNNNNNNNNNNNNNNNNNNNNNNNNNNNNNNNNNNNNNNNNNNNNNNNNNNNNNNNNNNNNNNNNNNNNNNNNNNNNNNNNNNNNNNNNNNNNNNNNNNNNNNNNNNNNNNNNNNNNNNNNNNNNNNNNNNNNNNNNNNNNNNNNNNNNNNNNNNNNNNNNNNNNNNNNNNNNNNNNNNNNNNNNNNNNNNNNNNNNNNNNNNNNNNNNNNNNNNNNNNNNNNNNNNNNNNNNNNNNNNNNNNNNNNNNNNNNNNNNNNNNNNNNNNNNNNNNNNNNNNNNNNNNNNNNNNNNNNNNNNNNNNNNNNNNNNNNNNNNNNNNNNNNNNNNNNNNNNNNNNNNNNNNNNNNNNNNNNNNNNNNNNNNNNNNNNCGCCCGCGGCCUUCCGCUCGCCCAGUUCCUGUUGAGCUCCGGUCGGCCCCGAGCCCCUCGCAGCUUGCCCCUCCUACAGCGGCCGCCGGCGCCCGCCACUCCCUUUGGCCAUUGCUGCCGCGCCACCCCGCCUCCACCGCUGCUCAUCGCGCGCCCCGCUGCUCGCCCGUCGCCCCGCCGUGGCCACGGCCUCGUCCACCUCAACCGCCCCCACUCGUCGCUCGUCGUCUCCCCGUCCCGUGGCGGCCCUGCUGCGUCACGCCGGCACGCGGCCCCGGCCCCCCCUGCGCCGCUGCGGCUGCUCGUCGCUGAGGCCGUCGGUGCCCAACGCCGUUUUCCUCCCUGUCGAUGAGGGGCGCACGCCCAGCGCCCGCUAACCGCCCCGUUAAGGCCUAUGGGCCAAUGACAUAGGGGCCCAGCCCCUCAAACAUUUUAAAAGAAAAAAGGAAUUAAGAAGAAUUUAAAAUAAAUAACUAAAUCAAUUGUGUUUAAUUAAUCUAAUAUCUAAUUAACAUAAUUAACUAAUGUUAAUUAACUUAACUAAUCUGUUAACUAAACUAAUUAACCUGGUUAGUUAGUUAACAGUCAUUGACAUGCGGGACCCACAUGUCAGCGACCCAGUCAACACCUCUAUUGACUGCUGACGUCAUGAUGAUGUCAGCAUGCACUGUUCUGGAUAAUGUUGAAUUAAAUUAAUUAAAUAAAUUAUAAAAAUGUUUUAAAACUUUUGAAAAACAUUUAAAAUAAACCGUAGCUCAGAUGAAAAUACUUUCUACAUGAAAGUUGCUCAGAACGACGAGACAAAUCCGGAUAUGUCGGCGUUCUGGGAACGGGAGUCCCCAGACUUGCCUGCCUGCGGCCCACAACGUGGCUAAGCCAGCAGGCUGUACGGCCCAUCUUCAUCAACAAGGCAUCCAAGACCCUCGCGAGGGUCCAAGCCUCGCGAGGCGGACGACGCAAGACCUCCUGUGGAGUGGCCUAGCCAGGCAGUCUCACGAGGAGCGGAGAUAUCAAGGCGGGGAAAACCUCACGAGGCUCUCGUGACAUGAGCCAUGACGAAUGACACCAGGCGGGCGCCAGCGCGCGCAGCGUCCUUAUUUCCUCUUUGGUGCUAAGGAGGCCACCGCAGGCGAAGAGUACCGAGGCAUCAGGCAAAGGUUGUUAUAUUGGUGCAAUGAGACCAAGACCAGGAGGACGGCAAGACGGAUGUCAUCAUGGAUCCCAAGACGGCGUCACCACCAGAGCUUUUCGCAGGCGAAGACCGCUUUUGUCAAGAUAGCUUGUACUAGCUGUCCCCCUUCAAAUUUGCCCGCCGUUGUUGGCUCCCUUCCCGCUCGAUAUUUGGGAAGAGGACCAGGGCCUAUAUAAGUAGAGCUAGCCACCAUAGUAGGGGCAUCUCAUCUUAGCCUGAUCCAACCCGAUCGAGAGCCUACCCUAGCCACAAGAACACCUCAACCUCGGGAGGCUAUUCUUCCCUUGUACUGUUCAUCAUCAGCCCUAGAGGCAAUCCACCACCACCACACUGGAGUAGGGUAUUACACCACAACGAUGGCCCAAACCAGUAUAAACCUCGUGUCUUUCUGUGUUGCGAGUUCGUCGAGUUCGUCCGCGAGAUCUUAGCGAGCUAGGGCGUAGAUCGGUAGGAGGGAAAGACUUCGCGCGCACCCCAGUGUUCGAACCUUAAGGGUUUGCCGGAACCCCACAUCCGACAUUUGGCGCGCCAGGUAGGGGUGCGCUGGAGCUUCUUCUCCACCAACCAGCUCGCCGACACUCCCCAGCCAUGAUGUCCGGCGACUCAAGGGCCCGCUCUGACCGCUGGGCAGCCUGGCCAGCCCGGGCAGCGUCGCCUGCCCAUGAAGAUCUCGACCCUACACUCCAGGCGGCGCGAGCGCUGCCAAACCCCGCCGAACGUGGGCAGCGCGGCCAGGCGCCGUCCACCCUCACCCCACGGCAAGUACGGGCCGCCGCAAGAGCAGCGAGCCACGCCGCAGCAACGGCGCCGCACUCACGGCGGGAGCAAGCAAACAUACGGGCAGCGCUCACCGUGGCAAGGGAGCUGCUGCGAUGCAGGCUAAUGGAAAGCGGCUAGGAUACACUUCUGGAGCGUGUUGCCGAGCUGCUGGACGCAGCGGCGUCGGGAGCACCACCCUUCUGCUAUCGACUUCCUCCUCAGGCCACUGCAGGGCUUCGCGGUGAACCUCACCACAUCCGCGCGCCAUCAACUAUGCCCGAGGCUUCAUCAACAUCAGCACGGCCAACGACGUAGGGGGCUCCGACUCCGCCAUGCCGCCCGCGACAAGCACGCGCACAAGCGUUGCCCUCCAUGGUCCCAGCCAGAUGCCACGCUAUCAUCCUCAGGACGCCACCCUGGGCCGAGCAACAUGGAGUGUGGGGCACCACGGCAAGGUGUUUGGGGUGACGGCCUCGGAAGCCUACGUGCCCCGCAUGAUGGACCAAGAGUACGCACCAGAGGACGACCCCGGCUCAUUCAUUGGAGAAGAUUGGGGAGAGGGGCGCUAGGAGCCGAAGCCUUCCAAGAACCAACAGAGAACCACGAUGGUCGCGCCGGCAACGGCAACUACAGGGUACCGCUAAUCUGUCCGGAACAGGCUUAUGCUAACCAUGGGCUGCAGAUGAAUCAGGUUGCAGCGUCGAUCGACAACCCUGGCACGGCGGCACCUGUCCCAACCAGGGAGACACGCUGGGGGCCGCCGGGAGGGAGUCAGGAGCAAGGCCCCUCUCCGCGGCGCGCGACGCCUGUCGACACCCGGAGGUAGGCCCUCUGCCGGGGAGGCCUCGACGACCCUUCCCCCGGCAGAGGACCUGUCGUCGCCGGGGCACCGCUGGCGUCCUCUUUCCCUCCUUUGUGUCGUCCCGGUGACCGGUCGUCUCAAAGGAGGUCAAGGGUGGCGCAAGGCGGGGCCCUCGUCUGGUGAUAUGAAGCAAGGCCGGUACCUGUGAAGAAGGCCCGGUGCCUGUGAAGCUCGCCGCCCGUGACACUCUCACGUAAUAAUGAGUUGGGGCUGUACACGCCCCGGUGUCUCAGGGGUGCCGGCCUCAGGCCCUGGGGCUCCCUCCCACGCCUAGUGGCAGCACCUAACUUCACGCUGGUGAGAAGACUUGAAGACCAGAAGACUAGACUACGUGCCGGACGCGGCCUUUUUGCUUUGGAUAUCUCUCUUUGUAGCUUUGCUUUCUGUAUCUGGAUUUGAGUUGAAGCUGAGUUUUAUCGAUGCGCGUGGGGGGAGCCUUUUCUCGUUCGAGCAAUUUCUUGCCUUCUGGAUCUCGUUUUGCCUGGGACUCAUGUUCGUCGCCUUCCCCUCACGAGCUCCUCGCGAGCGGGGCAGCGCGAAGCGCGCACGCCCAGUGCGCGCUAGCACUACAAGUGGUGCUCACCUCUUGUGGGGCCCCUUCUGACGGGGCGACGAGCUCCGCAGGGUUCUCAGAAACUCGACGCGCCACGACCCAGCUCAAAGCUGGCGCUGGCAAAGGUAAAUCACGACAAAGAACUCGCAUCCAGAUUCACGAGGACACAAACUCACAUCGCAUAGGAGAGUAAAAACUGCAAUUUGCUUACAUGAGGGGCUCCCCCUCCCAAAAUGCUCUUACAAGUUUCCCAAGGGCCAUGCCCGAGCUUCGUGUGCAGGAUGAAACGACAGGAGAACAUGGGAUCAGCCCAAAAUGUCGCUCGCUACAUCACCCGCGGAUGCGUCACUCGCGUCAUCAUCGUCUUCAUCGGCAACGUCGCCACUGCCGGCGACGCCCCCGACGCCGUCGUCAACCACGUCGCCGUCGUCUGCGGCGACCACCACCCCGUCAUCUUCUGUAGUGAAGGCCCUGACCAACGCGUCCACGUUGUCUUCAACCCAACGCGCCAGGUCAUCCCGGACGACCGUUGGAACGGGAGCGAUGGUGGCGUCGAAAUCAAAGUUGGGGUCGGCAUUCAGAAGGUGGCUGAAGACACGGGAGAAAGCGCGCUCAAGCAGGCCACACCCCCUUUCCUCCACAAGCUGUCGAGCUUUGGCAGAUCGAGCCUCUAGGUGCGUCACCACCUCAGUGAAGAAGAUCAAAUGGCUGGCAUAGUCAUUCGAGUGAGGGGCCGGCACCUCCACAUCGCAAAUAUGGCCCAGGGCGGUGUUGGCCCUGUUCCGAAGAUCCUGAAGCAUAGGAGCAUGCUCGCGCUCCAGCGUUCGUCGUUGGAGCACUUCCUUCCUCCGUGUUCUGCCAUGCAACGGCCUCAGCGUCAUCAACCCACCUACGAAGGGAGCUCAGCUCGGCGCGGGCGGAGACCAAGUCCGCCUGUGCCGUAACCAGGGCGGCAGCCAUGGCCUCCGCGUGCCUCUCAGCCUCAUCCAGCCUGGGCCUGAGGGCAGCGGCCCUACCCGCAUCCUCCGUACCCGCGAGCUUCAGCUUCAGGUCGUACCUACCCUCCAGGUCCGCGCGAACCUCGGCCACCCGGCGAUUCACCUCCUCCUCGACUCCGGCCUCGCGAGCCCUGACGACAUCUUCUGCUUGAGCAACUUGACGUUCCCUCGUCUCCAGUCGCUCGAGCUAGAGGCUGUGCUCCACGGCUUCCAGGGCUAGCGUCUCACCGCGCUUCCGGACCUCCUCAUCCUCCGCCGGUGUCCCCCUCAGCGAUGCAAGAGCGGCCCUGCGCGCCUCCACCUGCUGCUCAAGGGAUGUGCUCCAGGCCUGGAGCUCCCACGCGCGUUCCUCCUCAGCCUCGCAACGGCGGUCAGCCUCGCGAGCCUCUUCCAAGGCUCACGAGCGGGCUUCAUGGGCGAUCUUGAGGGACGCCUCGGCCUUCGCAUUCUCAAGGUCGCGCUGAUAGCGACCGAGGUUGAUGGCCACCCUCAGCUUGCGCAGCUCCUCCACCAGCCGGAGACCCUCGGCCUCAAGGCGCGAGUCAACACCCGCGAGCUCUUCACCAAGUUGGCUCAUCGCGCCCAUCGCCUCCUGGAAGAGCUCGUGCCGAACCACGCUCCGCCCGCGCUCGAGCUCGAACGCUCGACCCUCCUCGUCCUCCACCUCGGGGGCUGCGGGCGGGGCGCCAAGCGGCGCACCACCCCUCGGCAGGGGGCUAGGGGCUGACGCCGCACCUAACGCCAGCCCGUCCUCACGAGAAACCCAAGCUGGCUGAGGCUCACUGCUUGAAGAGGAACCAAAGAUCGAAGCCAGCCAGCUGCUGCCUAUGAGCGAAGGAGGGGCCUUGGGCACGCCCGCCAAGCUCCACACCAGACCCUGAGGGAGGGAUGGCCAAGCUGCGGGCUCCGUGCGCCGCGGAGGCAGAGAUGCUCCCCCGAUUGACCCAGCUCCAAGGGCGGUAGGAUGACCAGGAACGCUCAAGGCGGAUGGGGGAGUUGAUGAAGGAGGAGGCCGCUUCUCGGGAGACGCAACAACUUCAACGGAAGGAGCCCUGGAGAACUGAUGUCAGGACAAGAAGGCAACACGUAAGAAGCUGUGACAACAAGGUACUUACGCGUCAAUGACGAUGUACUUUCGCCGCUUCAACGGCCCGAAGAUGCUGCUACCGCUAGGGGAUCCUUUCCUCUUGCGGAGCUCCCCGAAGUCCACACAAAGACGACCGAAAUGCUGGACGUGACGGCCGGUGCACAGAGGGGCCGAAGAAGUGCCUGGAAGGAUAUCUUCAGGGGUGCCCGGUUGCGGCAAACAGCCGGGCACCGUCUCACCACAACCUCCCGAGGCCCGUGGAGCCUUGGCCUCGGGAGCCGCAUGCUGCGUAAUCGGCGCCUCAGGAGGGGGGUCGUAGGCCCCCGAAGACGACGCCCCAGGAUCACCAUUCGGCAUGUGUUCCUCGGGACUUGGGCCACCGGCCCCCAUCGGAGCUCGCUCUCCCGAACCUUCACCUGUGGCGAGCUUGGCGCCGGCAGUGAAGAAGGGAACCACGACGACGGGUUCUCGCGGGGCCCCACCAAUCCAAUCGGUCGCAACCCCCAUUCGUCAAAGGAAGGCAUGCUCGCUGCAAACUCAUCCUUGUUCUUGCAGCGAUACAGCAGGCAAUUCUUCCCAGGCAUUUCGGCCGACAAGGGGACACCCGUCAAGACCUUGAGCACUGUUUGCCGCGUCCCAAGGGGGAGCCCAGACUCCUGGAACCUCAUGUGGUCCUGACUGUUGAGCAAGGUCCACAUUGGGCGAGAGUGGCGCUGAAGCGGAGCAACCCGGCAUUUGAAGAACUCCUUCACCACCAUCGGCGCGGUCACGCCGCGGUCCUUCAGCAGCCUCAGCCUGGCCCAGACAAGAGCAGGGCGGGGGCUCGAGAGCUUCUGGUGGCUCCAGCCGGAGUUUGAAACAGCAGGCCCCGUCGGGAGACGAAGCAGGGGGCUGAGCAUGCCAGCAUCGACAAACACCCGUCGCGUACGAAACUCGCUCGUGGAUGAAGGGAGCACGAAGUCAAUCCCCGCGCCCGCGGUCGUAGCCACGGCCUGGAAGCUCAUGCACCCGAGCAUUGCAGAGGGUCGGCCAGGUGCAAUGAGAAGAAGUGACGGAAGAGGGCCACCGAAGGAGCGAUGCCCACCAUGGCUUCGCACACGAAGGCGAAGACAGCAAGAAGAGUCACCGAUUGGGGGUCAAGAUGCAGCAUGUGGAUCUGGUAAUGCUCUAGCACCGCGUUGAGGAAGGCAGAGAAGGGAGGAAUCAGGCCAGCCCAGAGGGCAUCUAUGAAGAUUGGGACCUCAGUGGCUGCCCGAGCCAUGCGAGUGCGAGACGCAGGCCAAGCCACCGUCUCUCCCCACUCGUUGAAGCUGGAAGCGAGCAUCAGACGCACCUUGUCCAUGGCCUCGUUGUUGAGCACCCGGGAUCGGCCUAGCGCUGGCUCGACAGCUGGAGGUGCGCCUUACGGAGACAUCGGCUUCUUCCCCUUGUCCGCUUGUUUUGGCGCCAUGGCAACGAAGCAGGGGGAGGGCAGGUCAGAUCGGAGAAGGGAAGCAGAGUCUCAAGGAAGCAGGGGGAUUGGGGAAGCGAGGCGCAGGCGACGGAGGAAUAACUGUGUAGGCCACGGGGGCCGCAUGGGGAAGCGGAGUCGCCCACGUCCAAUCAACCACCACGCGUCAACCGAGGCCGCGGGCUUUUGGGGCCCGCGGUGCUCCGAACUUGACCCUUGACUUCACCGCGAAGCCAAGCCAGAGUGCACCUUGGGCCCGGGGGCUACUGUUGGCGUUCUGGGAACGGGGGUCCCCAGACUUGCCUGCCUGCGGCCCACAGCGUGGCUAAGCCAGCAGGCCGUACGGCCCAUCUUCAUCAACAAAGCAUCCAAGACCCUCACGAGGGUCCAAGCCUCGCGAGGCGGACGAUGCAAGACCACCUCUGGAGUGGCCUAGCCAGGCAGGCUCACGAGGAGCGGAGAUAUCAAGGCGGGGCAAACCUCAUGAGGCUCUCGUGACGUGAGCCAUGACGAACGACACCAGGCGGGCGCCAGGCAGGCACCAGCGCGCAUAGCGUCCUUAUUUCCUCUUUGGUGCUAAGGAGGCCAACGCAGGCGAAGAGUACCGAGGCAUCAGGCUAAGGUGGCUAUAUUGGUGCAACAAGACCAAGACCAGGAGGACGGCAAGACGGAGGUCAUCAUGGAGCCCAAGACGGCGUCACCACCAGAGCUUUUCGCAGGCGAAGACCGCUUUUGUCAGGAUAGCUUGUACUAGCUGUCCCCCUUCAAAUUUGCCCGCCGUUGUUGGAUCCCUUCCCACUCGAUAUUUAGGAAGAGGACCAGGGCCUACAUAAGUAGAGCUAGCCACCAUAGUAGGGGCAUCUCAUCUUAGCCUGAUCCAACCCGAUCGAGAGCCUACCCUAGCCACAAGAACACCUCAACCUCGGGAGGCUGUUCUUCCCUUGUAUUGUUCAUCAUCAGCCCUAGAGGCAAUCCACCACCACCACACUUGAGUAAGGUAUUACACCACAAUGGUGGCCCGAACCAGUAUAAACCUCAUGUCUUUCUAUGUUGCGAGUUCGUCCGCGAGAUCUUAGCGAGCUAGGGCGUAGAUCGGUAGGAGGGAAAGACUUCGUGCGCACCCCAGUGUUCGAACCUUAAGGGUUUGCCGAAACCCCACAUCUGACAGGAUACGCAGCCCGUUCGUCCGCCACACAUCCCUAUCCUAUCGAACUCACAACUUUCCCCCUCCGGUUCAUCUGUCCGAAAACGCGAAACACCGGGAAUACUUUCCCGGAUGUUUCCCCCCUUCGCCGGUAUCACCUACUACCGCGAUUGGGCACGCCUAGCAUCACGCUUUGUCAUGUCAUGCAUCAUCAUGCAUUUGUUUGCAUUGUAUUUAUUGUUUCUUCCCCCUCUUCUCUCGCUAGACACCGAGACCGACGCCACUGCUACCCCGUACGACUACGGUGUUGACGAUCCCUCCUUCUCGGCAGAGCUUCCAGGCAAGCCCCCCCCCCUUGAUCACCAUAUAUCGCCUAUUCUACUCUCUACUACUUGCAUUAGAGUAGUGUAGCAUGUUACUGCUUUCCGUUAAUCCUAUCCUGAUGCAUAGCCUGUCCUUGCUACUACUGUUGUUACCUUUACCUGCAAUCCUACAUGCUUAGUAUAGGAUGCUGUAUUUCCAUUUGUGGUCCUACAUUCUUGUCUGUCUGCCUUGCUAUACUAUCGGGCCGUGAUCACUCCGGAGGUGAUCACGGGUAUAUACUUAUAUACUUUACAUGAUACCUGUGGUGACUAAAGUUGGGUCGGCUCGAGGAGUACCCGCGAGUGGAUCUUUGUGGCGGAGCGACAGGGCAGGUUGAGACCACCUAGGCGAGAGGUGGGCCUGGCCCUAGUCGGCGUUCACGGUUAUUUCAAAAUAACACGCUUAACGAGUUCUUGGUAUUUGAUCCGAGUCUGGCUACUGGCCUAUACGCACUAACCAACUACGCGAGAACAGUUAUGGGCACUCGGCGUCGUGAUAUCAGCCGAAGCCUUCGUGACAUCAGCAACCGAGCGGCGCGCGCUGGAUUGGACUGGAACGCCUGCUAGGCUAGGUCUGCUUCCGGCCGCCCUCGCAACAUGCAGGUGUGCAAUGGGCGAUGGGCCCAGACCCCUGCGCCAUUGGAUUUAGACCGGCGUGCUGAACUCUCUAUUGUGCCUAGGUGGGGCUGCGAUGUGUUGAUCUUCUGAGGCCGGGCAUGACCCAGGAAAGUGUGUCCGGCCAAAUGGGAUCGAGCGUGUUGGGUUAGGUGGUGCACCCCUGCAGGGAAGUUUAUCUAUUCGAAUAGCCAUGUCCCUCAGUAAAAGGAUGACCCGGAGUUGCACCUUGACCUUAUGACAACUAGAACCGGAUACUUAAUAAAACAUACCCUUCCAAGUGCCAGAUACAACCCGGUGAUCGCUCUCUCAUAGGUCGACGAGGAGAGGAUCAUCGGGUACGAUUAUGCUAUGCGAUGAUACUUGGUGAACUUACCAUCUACUCUCUUCUACAUGCUGCAAGAUGGAGGCUGCCAGAAGCGUAGUCUUCGACAAGACUAGCUAUCCCCCUCUUAUUCUGGCAUUCUGCAAUUCAGUCCACCGAUAUUGCCCUUUACACUGAUACCCAUGCAUAUGUAGUGUAGUUACUUGCUUGCGAGUACUUUGGAUGAGUACUCACGGUUGCUUUUCUCCCUCUUUUCUCCCUUUCCAUUCUUCUCGGUUGUCGCAACCAGAUGCUGGAGUCCAGGAGCCAGAGGAUCCCGAGGAUGAUUCUACGUGGAGUUCGGCUUCAUGGAGUAGUUAGGAGGUCCCGGGAAGGAGGCCUCACCUUUUCGAUCGUUUCUACUUUUGUGCUAGCCUUCUUAAGGCAAACUUGUUUAACUUAUGUCUGUACUCAGAUAUUGUUGCUCCCGCUGACUCGUCUAUGAUCGAGCACUUGUAUUCGAGCCCUCGAGGCCCUGGCUUGAAUUAUGAUGCUUGUAUGACGUAUUUUAUUUUAGAGUUGUGUUGUGAUAUCUUCCCGUGAGUCCCUGAUCCUGAUCGUACACAUUUGCGUGUAUGAUUAGUGUACAAUUGAAGCGGGGGCGUCACAAGUUGGUAUCAGAGCCGACUGCCUGUAGGAAUCCCCCUUCCACACUCCUUGCCGAAGUUGAGUCUAGUCUUUGAAAAGCUUUUACUAACAUGGAUGUGCGGCUUACGAGCCCACGUCGCCAUUGGGUGGUAUUAGGAUCUUUUACUCCUCGUGUAUACUCUGGGACUCUGAUCUCUCUUCUAUUCGGGUUAAAUGAAUUUUGCUAACUCUAACAUUAGGAUCUCGUGAUCACUACCACCCGGAGAGCCCUUUAUUACAGAUGAUCGCCCACUGCACCAGAAGAUUCCGAAGAUACUCUCUGAUGUUCUUUCGAGAACUUGUGCUCAUCGGGUUUGCAAUUCCCUACCACCGAGACAUCCCUAUGGAUAGCUACUUAUACUUGCCACCCAUACCUUCAUUCUCGAUUACUCUUGUUAGUACAAGACACCCUGAACUACUUCCCGCUAUUCCGAGAAUCCUUUGUGCUUAUUGCCUUGCAGCUCUUUUCUACACGAUUACACCUACGCAUAAUUCCUCACAUUUAUCGAGGAUUUGUUCAUCCCUAGUUCUUGUGUUUCACAAAAUUCUUCGGGAUACUAUUCGGUUUUCUGAAAAUCCUCAGGAGUCUAUUGCUUCUGAAUUCCUUGCCUUCCGGCACUAUGGUUAAUUCCAUAUUUCUAGCAAGCUCCAUUGACAUCCUUUGUCACUAUCAUUUCGAGUCCCUUGAUUCAAUAUUUUGCGAAUGCUCGCAAUCCUCAAUCAGAUCAUAGAAUUCAUCCUUCCGGCUCAGACGUCAUUUUAAACAUGAGCUGGUUCUCGACCAAUGAAAUUAUUGCUGAUUGUACCCCUAAGUCUACUCAACUUAUCCAUCCUUAAUCAGAGCGUUUGUUUCUGAGCCCUUAAUUUGGAAAUCAUAACUCCUUUGCAUUUGAGCUUGGAUUAGUCAGUUGUUUCGAUAAUCCGAUCUCCUUGCUUUUUUCUUCUUCUGGUUGAGUACCGAUGCUCACACCAGAUCCCUUAUGGACCACCAGAUCCUUAUUCGAUUUUAUCCGAUGACGUCCUUUAUAUUCAAUAACUCUGUGAGUCUUUUCUCGGAUACAUAAUGCCUUUGGUAAAUUGUAUCCUCUGCUUUGUCAAACAUGCUCUGCUUUCGAGCUUGUGUUAUUUACCCCUGAAGUUUGUGGUAUAUGUUCCUAAGAGGCCCCGAUGGGUUGAACCUAUGCCUUUUCUAAUCCGUGUGAACCCUGAAACUACUACGGGUCAUACUCUACUGGUGUUAUAUAUGUCAGAUAAAAUUUCAACACCACAACUUCGUUGAAGGCGAGAAGUGAAUGAAAGGUUAUGCAUUAAAGGAGUGGGAGUCGACCUUGAACUAUGUGUUCAUGCCCAUGGACACGAUGUAGAUCCUAUCAUGGAAGCUUCUUGUAAUAAUAACUAUUUCAUUGAUAACUAUCAUCUGGUAUCUGUGAAUAGAUCAUUUGCAACUAUGGUUCCGACCAUAUGUUCUUCUUUGAUCCCAUUUCACGGGCAAGUUUAAGCACUUGUCUUCUAUGGAUCAAUACACCAGUCCAACCUUUACUUUGACCUCUCGUCGAGUAUUACACCCUGGUAUCUCAAGAAUAUCAUGGAACUUCAUAACUUCUUAUGGGUUCUUCAUCAACUGUUAUUUCUCACCGGUUCCAAUUUUCUUGGGUUCUGGGUUGUCGUCAACCGAGAACACCGAAUAGUGAAUCGAGUCCGCACUCCGAUUCAAUAACUCUAAGUGAUUUUCGUUGCUUACGAGUUUAUUAACCCUUCAAGUCAUCCCAAGCCUGAUCGGCUAUAUCAUUAUCGUACUAAAUUUUAACUGUGCUACCUGGCCCUUCUCCCCGUAGCAAAAUUUUGGACGAUGAGCUAAGCUUACGUCCAUCUUCCUCGUCAUAUCAUUUCCCCUUGAACAACAAACUUGAUUUCGAGUUUGUGUCGUACCCUUGGUUCCAAUAACCUUUCGCUUCAUCAUUCCUGUGACUUGAUGUCAUCACCGGUUGGUUACAUCUUCAUGAAAUCUCUUAACAAAUGUGUCAUGAUCAUCAUCAGCAUUCUGAGAUCUUCUAGGAUAUUAAUUGAAUUCAUGAUGAGAAAUACCAUCCUUGCCCUCGAUGAAUUUUAUUAUCAUCGACCACUUUAUUGCCUUCCCACCAACACAGCUUGUUCGUGUUUGGUGUUAUACCUUGAGUUCCCUGCCAUCUAGCAAUUGUUCUUCUUUACUCGGAACAUUACCAUCUCUUAUGUCAUCAAUGUUGUGAGAAUUACACCACCUCUUAAGAAUUUGUGAUACAGUGAUGCUUCUCACCAUCACCAUUCUUUUCUUGGUCCCCGUGUUGAGUGAACUCUGUUGUGCAAAUUUAAUAUCUCUAGCAACCCUAUUGCUUCAGAGUUAUUGGACAAUAAUUCCAAUUUAGUGUGUUGGUUGCUCAAUCGCCAUUCCGACGUUGGGCGUGCAACCCAACCCAUAUUUCGAGUGCACCUUUCAACCCAUGUUUAAUUGUGUAUGUUUUCCUCCAGCAUACAUCAUUAAGUCAUUUGAUCUGGCUAAUGUUAUCUCCUUGUUCACAUAGUUGUGGAAAUCCAUCCUUUUUGGAAAUGUCAAUGGAUUGUCGCUGAGUCAAUCAGUCACCUCCUCACCUCUCCUUGAUUUAAUGAUGAACUCUUGUUUCGGAACUCGUUUCCAUGGUUUAAUUCCCGAGAAUCAUACAAUGUCACCUCGAUAAUUUGUGUUGCACCUUUCUUCUCAGGCAUCCUGAGUCUAAGGUAUCUUGACACCAAUCAGAUCUGAAUCUCGGUCAGAUAUGAAGGUUGGAACAUAUUUUCAAGAGUUAUAACAUUGGUCCCUAUAUGCCCCGGUAAGGUGAUGUCAUGCCUAGCACGCCUGACCAAAGGACCUAGUGUUAUAGUUUCCUUUUUAACAAGGUUAAUCAUUUUUCCAUGAGGAAAUUGAAUGCCUUGUUUAAUAAGUUUAUCCUGAUGGAUCCUUUGUGUAUCCAAAGCCUGAUUUUUGCUUGAAGACCAUGUCAAUGCUAUCCCGAAGCAUGUCUGUGGUACUCCAAUUUUCAAUAAGAGCAGUUGAAGCACAAUGCUAAAUUCUCUUUAUCAAUUAUCCAAACACCGUUGUAUGGGUAAUGUCAGGAAAUUUCUCUCCCCUACCUAAAUGGUUUUCUACUUUAUAUCCUGUCAUGGAUAUCAUGCUCUGCUUGCCCUUGGGAAGGAUAUACCCCUGAAAUAUGUGUUUAAACACAUUUUCCUUUCCAUUGUUCUGUUUAAUCUGAUAACCAUAUUUUCCUUUCCGUUGUUUGGUUUAACCUUUCUUGUGAUCUAUAUGAUCUAAGCAGUAACAAUUCACUGCUUAUGUAAACACCUCGGUGUACAACUCUGUCAGUAAGACCGUGUUACUAUUGUUGAUGACAUUCUGGUAGCCACCGAUGGACGAGAACUUUGCCUAAUGGUCUGCCUCGUUCAACGAGCAGGAAAAUGGUUCUCUUCGUCCCUCGCCCUUGGUACCAACGAUGCAGUCAACAUAACUGACCGGUUAUUCUUUGACAUGCCUUGCUAUCAUGACCGUGCCAGAUGUCAACGCCCUUCCUUAUUUUAACCCACAUGGUGGGCCCAUAACCCACAGUUCCACAGGAUCGAAACCUGACUCUCCUGUACACCCUGUUGCCAAAGUUAUUCCUUGAGCCUGGCUACGUAUGUAAUUGACGGGUCACCUUCCUAGUUUUCUAUUCUGGUAUCAGACGCGAUACUUAUUCUCGUGCCCUGAAACCCUUUCACCUUCUAAUUGGGCAUCGAACAAUUGCCUAUCCGCUUGAUACUUCUUACUACACCCUCUUGCUUGGCUCUCGAUGUGUUUCAUUUGAACAACUCGAGAGAUACCCCUGUGUUCAUUCAUGGGUAACCCCCAAUGGUUAACCCUUAUAGCAUUCUAUCAUUGUUGAACUGCCCCUUACCUAUUCGUAAGUACGAGACAGACCCCGAAGAAAGGAUGCGACUUCGUCAAGAUGACCUGAAGUAGAGAAAUGAAGACAUCAACGACAGGGAUCAACUUCUUCGCGAAGAGCAAGCCAGGAUGAGAAGACCCGCUAGAUUCAUAACCAAAACCUUUCCCCCUUUCACUACCUCUUAAAUCUCAGGACGAGAUUUCUUGUAGUGGAGGAGAAUUGUGACGCCUGGAUAAUUAGGCUACAGCAAUCCCCUGUUAAUGAUGCCACGUCACCAUAGUUACUGUUGAUAAUCCCGCGUUAGUUCAAAAACCAAUUCAAAUUCAAAAUUGAAUAAAAGGCAAACAUCAAAGUUUUCAAAAUAUUAAACUAAAAUGUCCGGAGUGUGCAAAUAAUUGCUUAGGUGUUUAUGGUGAAGGAACCGUGCUUUUAUAAAAGGCCUAAAUAUUUAAAAUGAAAUAAAACAGAAGAGAAAAUAAAUAAAAGAAAAGGAAAAAGGAAAAACA
Molecule: long non-coding RNA, 15532 nt
Filed under: Triticum aestivum (bread wheat)
Lineage: Eukaryota; Viridiplantae; Streptophyta; Magnoliopsida; Poales; Poaceae
Description: long non-coding RNA (TAES_LNC013134)
Source: RNAcentral